Molecule: ribosomal RNA, 301 nt
Filed under: uncultured bacterium
Lineage: Bacteria
Description: partial 16S ribosomal RNA
Rfam family: Bacterial small subunit ribosomal RNA
Source: RNAcentral
CAGUCGCCGCGGGAAUACAGAGGAUGCAAGCGUUAUCCGGAAUGAUUGGGCGUAAAGGGCUCGCAGGCGGUUUCUUAAGUCUGAUGUGAAAGCCCCCGGCUCAACCGGGGAGGGUCAUUGGAAACUGGGAAACUUGAGUGCAGAAGAGGAGAGUGGAAUUCCACGUGUAGCGGUGAAAUGCGUAGAGGUGUGGAGGAACACCAGUGGCGAAGGCGACUCUCUGGUCUGUAACUGACGCUGAGGAGCGAAAGCGUGGGGAGCGAACAGGAUUAGAGACCCCCGUAGUCCCUGUCUCUUAUAC